UCGUUGGGAAAUCCACGCGCUCAACGCGUGGGCGUCCAGCGAAAACUGUUCGGCUUGGGGCCGGAAGACUCAAGGGGUACGUCCGGGGUAGGAGUGAAAUCCCGUAAUCCUGGACGGACCGCCGAUGGCGAAAGCACCUUGAGAGGACGGACCCGACGGUGAGGGACGAAAGCCAGGGUCUCGAACCGGAUUAGAUACCCGGGUAGUCCUGGCCGUAAACGAUGUUCGCUAGGUGUGGCACUCGCUACGAGCGAGUGCUGUGCCGUAGGGAAGCCGAGAAGCGAACCGCCUGGGAAGUACGUCUGCAAGGAUGAAACUUAAAGGAAUUGGCGGGGGAGCACUACAACCGGAGGAGCCUGCGGUUUAAUUGGACUCAACGCCGGACAUCUCACCGGUCCCGACAGCAGUAACGACGGUCAGGUUGACGACCUUACCCGAGCUGCUGAGAGGAGGUGCAUGGCCGCCGUCAGCCCGUACCGUGAGGCGUCCUGUUAAGUCAGGCAACGAGCGAGACCCGCACUCCUAAUUGCCAGCACCGGCUUCGGCCGGGUGGGUACAUUAGGAGGACUGCCGUGGCUAACACGGAGGAAGGAACGGGCAACGGUAGGUCAGUAUGCCCCGAAUGUGCUGGGCUACACGCGGGCUACAAUGGCCAAGACAAUGGGUUCCCACCUCGAAAGAGGGCGGUAAUCUCCUAAACUUGGUCGUAGUUCGGAUUGAGGGCUGAAACCCG
RNAcentral lists this ribosomal RNA (733 nucleotides) under uncultured Halobacteria archaeon. Its description in RNAcentral is "bacterial SSU rRNA". It matches the Rfam family "Archaeal small subunit ribosomal RNA", at positions 539 to 1270 of the family's 1478-position model. The record is from RNAcentral. Lineage: Archaea; Methanobacteriati; Methanobacteriota; Halobacteria.